Molecule: ribosomal RNA, 1887 nt
Filed under: Triticum aestivum (bread wheat)
Lineage: Eukaryota; Viridiplantae; Streptophyta; Magnoliopsida; Poales; Poaceae
Description: partial small subunit ribosomal RNA
Source: RNAcentral
AUGGCGCGCCUCCUCGCCGUCCGGGGCAUCUCCUCGUCGCCGCACCUCGCGUGGAGGGUAAAGCAAACAGAGAAUGAGAUUGUCCAGAUGUUCCAGCCCCCGGUUCGUCAGAGUGAGGAGGCAGUAGCAACCACUGGACCAAGGUACACGCAUUCCAUACGAGUCAUGGAUGAGAGAUUCAUUAGGAUCCUGAAGAUAUUCAAGUGGGGCCCUGAUGCUGAGAAGGCGUUGGAGGUAUUAAUGAUGAAAGUUGAUCACUGGUUGGUAAGAGAGGUUAUGAAAACCGAUGUCGGGGUCAGUGUGAAGAUGCAAUUUUUCAGAUGGACAGCAAGGAAGAGGAAUUACGAACACGACACAUCCACUUACAUGGCAUUGAUACGUUGUUUAGAGGUAGUAGAGCAGUAUGGUGAAAUGUGGAAAAUGAUCCAAGAAAUGGUACGGAAUCCUGUAUGUGUUGUCACGCCGAUGGAGCUAUCAGACAUCAUCCGGAUGCUGGGGAAUGCCAAGAUGAUCAGUAAGGCAGUUGCAAUCUUUUACCAAACCAAGGCACGAAAGUGUCAACCCACUGCUCAGGCAUAUAAUAGCAUGAUAAUCAUGUUAAUGCAUGAGGGGGAGUAUGAGAAAGUGCAUGAACUUUACAAUGAGAUGAGCAACGAGGGCCAAUGCUUCCCAGACACCGUGACUUACAGUGCACUCAUUUCUGCUUUCUGCAAACUUGGUCGCCAGGAUUCAGCAAUUUGGUUGUUGAAUGAGAUGAAGGACAAUGGAAUGCAGCCAACUGCUAAGAUAUAUACCAUGCUAAUGGCUUUGCUCUUUAAAUUGGACAAUGUUCAUGGAGCAUUGAGUUUGUUUGAAGAGAUGAGGCAUCAGUACUGCCGGCCAGAUGUGUUUACUUACACUGAAUUAAUCAGGGGACUUGGUAAAGCUGGGAGAUUUGAUGAAGCAUGUAACUUCUUCUAUGAAAUGCGACGAGAAGGCUGCAGGCCAGACACAGUUCUUAUUAACAAUAUGAUAAAUUUCUUGGGUAAGGCUGGUCGUUUGGAUGAUGCUAUGAAGUUGUUUGAGGAGAUGAAGACAUUAAGGUGUAUUCCUAGCGUGGUGACCUACAACACUAUAAUUAAAGCACUUUUUGAAUCUAAAUCUCGUAUUUCUGAGAUUUCAUCAUGGUUCGAGAGAAUGAAGGAAAGUGGAAUCUCCCCUAGUCCAUUCACCUACUCAAUCUUGAUUGAUGGAUUCUGCAAAACCAACAGGACGGAGAAGGCUAUGAUGCUGCUGGAGGAGAUGGAUGAAAAGGGCUUCCCUCCAUGUCCAGCGGCAUAUUGCAGCCUGAUUGAUGCUCUUGGAAAAGCCAAACGGUAUGAUCUUGCACACGAGCUAUUUCAGGAACUAAAAGAAAAUUGUGGCUCCUCUAGUGCUCGAGUGUAUGCGGUGAUGAUAAAACACUUAGGGAAGGCUGGGCGGCUUGAUGAUGCUGUAGAUCUGUUUGAAGAGAUGAACAGACUUGGUUGCACUCCUAAUGUUUAUGCUUACAACGCCCUCAUGUCUGGAUUGGCAAGAGCAGGCAUGCUUGAUGAAGCCCUUACUACAAUGAGAAGAAUGCAAGACCAUGGGUGUAUUCCUGAUAUCAAUUCAUACAAUAUUAUCCUGAAUGCACUGGCAAAAACAGGAGGUCCUGAUCGUGCAAUGGGGAUGCUUUCUAAUAUGAAACAGUCUGCAAUAAAACCAGAUGCUGUGUCAUAUAAUACUGUUCUUGGUGCCUUGAGUCACGCAGGCAUGUUUGAGGAGGCAGCUAAAUUGAUGAAAGAGAUGAAUGCGUUAGGAUUUGACUAUGAUCUUAUUACAUAUUCAUCUAUACUUGAGGCGAUUGGAAAGGUUGAUCAAGAGUGA